This 482-nucleotide ribosomal RNA is filed under the name uncultured bacterium. RNAcentral describes it as "bacterial SSU rRNA". It matches the Rfam family "Bacterial small subunit ribosomal RNA", at positions 30 to 507 of the family's 1533-position model. The record is from RNAcentral.
AUUGAACGCUGGCGGAAUGCUUUACACAUGCAAGUCGAACGGCAGCACGGGGCAACCUGGUGGCGAGUGGCGAACGGGUGAGUAAUAUAUCGGAACGUGCCCAAUCGUGGGGGAUAACGUAGCGAAAGUUACGCUAAUACCGCAUACGAUCUACGGAUGAAAGCGGGGGAUCGCAAGACCUCGCGCGAAUGGAGCGGCCGAUAUCAGAUUAGGUAGUUGGUGGGGUAAAGGCUCACCAAGCCAACGAUCUGUAGCUGGUCUGAGAGGACGACCAGCCACACUGGAACUGAGACACGGUCCAGACUCCUACGGGAGGCAGCAGUGGGGAAUUUUGGACAAUGGGCGCAAGCCUGAUCCAGCCAUUCCGCGUGCAGGAUGAAGGCCUUCGGGUUGUAAACUGCUUUUGUACGGAACGAAACGGUCUGCCCUAAUACGGUGGGCUAAUGACGGUACCGUAAGAAUAAGCACCGGCUAACUACGUG